UACGUAGGGUGCGAGCGUUAAUCGGAAUUACUGGGCGUAAAGCGUGCGUAGGCGGUUCUCCAAGUCCGUUGUGAAAGCCCCCGGCUCAACUGGGGAGGGUCACUCGAUACUGAUCGACUCGAAGGCAGGAGAGGGAAGUGGAAUUCCCGGUGUAGUGGUGAAAUGCGUAGAUAUCGGGAGGAACACCAGUGGCGAAGGCGACUCACUGGCCCGGUACUGACGCUGAGGUGCGAAAGCGUGGGGAGCAAACAGG
RNAcentral lists this ribosomal RNA (253 nucleotides) under uncultured bacterium. RNAcentral's name for it is "partial 16S ribosomal RNA". It matches the Rfam family "Bacterial small subunit ribosomal RNA", at positions 524 to 776 of the family's 1533-position model. The record is from RNAcentral.